CUUAUGUGUGUUCGUACCAUUUCAUGGACGGGAAGGCGACUGACGAACACUUUUACACCGAGAAAUGGCUCGACUACGAUGUUCCGUUAAAGAGGUCACGCCGGGGGAUGAAAAGGUUGUCAGAUUCGGAUGUAUUGAUGACCGCCAGUGAUGCAGUGGACAGCUGUGAGGGUGAUCAGAUCCACAUGCCCCUGAUCUUGCUGAAAAUCACCAGAAGUUACCUGCUGUAAUAGAUAUUUUUAUGAACCUUUACAAUGUCACCAGAAGUUACCUGCUGUAAUAAGUUAUUUUUAUCAACCUUUACAGUGUCACCUGACAUUACCUGCUGUAAAUAUUUAUUUAUCUUAAUUUGAUCUUUUUUUUUUUUAUCUUUAAUCUCUGAUUUGAAGGAAUAAGUCAUGUCAAGUUUGCAAGUUAAUUCCAUCUUGGUUUAUUACAUAUGGAAAUUAAAUGUUGAAAUUUUAUAGGAUGGUCAGUAGAAGGUGUCUCUUGCUUCCUGAAAACAACAAACACUGAUCAACAAAUCACAAAUGAUUUUAUACAACUUAUAUUAAAUUAUCCAUGUAUUAAAAAACAAA
Molecule: long non-coding RNA, 578 nt
Organism: Carassius gibelio (silver crucian carp)
Lineage: Eukaryota; Metazoa; Chordata; Actinopteri; Cypriniformes; Cyprinidae
Exons: 2
Source: RefSeq, a predicted model, not a curated record